AUACGUACUGUGCGAACGUUAUUCGGAAUCACUGGGCUUAAAGGGUGCGUAGGCGGUCGCUUAAGUAGGGUGUGAAAUCCCCCGGCUCAACCGGGGAACUGCGCUCUAAACUGGGCGACUCGAGUAAGAUAGGGGUGUGCGGAACUUCCGGUGGAGCGGUGAAAUGUGUUGAUAUCGGGAAGAACAUCAGUGGCGAAGGCGGCUUACUGGAUCAACCCUGACACUGAGGCGCGAAAGCGUGGGUAGCAAACAGGAUUAGAAACCCCGGUAGUCC
Molecule: ribosomal RNA, 274 nt
Filed under: uncultured bacterium
Lineage: Bacteria
Description: partial 16S ribosomal RNA
Rfam family: Bacterial small subunit ribosomal RNA
Source: RNAcentral